GUCUUUUUGAGUAUAAUUUAAAGUCUAACCUGCCCACUGAUAUUAUUGAAUGGCCGCAGUAUUUUGACUGUGCAAAGGUAGCAUAAUCAAUAGUUUUUUAAUUAAGAACUGGAAUGAAAGGUUGGACGAGAAAAUAACUGUCUCUUUAUAAAUUAUUUAGAAUUUUAUUUUUAAGUUAAAAAGCUUAAAUGUUAUUAAAAGACGAGAAGACCCUAUAGAGUUUUAUAUAAAUGUGAUUAUUAUUUUAGUUAGUAUUUUUUAAAUAUUAAUCAUAGAUAUAUUUGGUUGGGGUGAUUGAAAAAUUUAAUAAACUUUUUUUGUAUUAAAACAUUUAUUUAUGGUUUAUUGAUCCAUUAUUAGUGAUUAUAAGAUUAAAUUACCUUAGGGAUAACAGCGUUAUUUCUUUUAAGAGUUCUUAUCAAUAAAGAAGUUUGCGACCUCGAUGUUGGAUUAAAAUUAAAUUUUGGUGUAGAAGCUAAAAUUUUUAGGUCUGUUCGACCUUUAAUAUUUUACA
This 514-nucleotide ribosomal RNA is filed under the name Neivaphilus sp. JP-2017. RNAcentral describes it as "partial 16S ribosomal RNA". It matches the Rfam family "Bacterial large subunit ribosomal RNA", at positions 1825 to 2600 of the family's 2925-position model. Lineage: Eukaryota; Metazoa; Arthropoda; Insecta; Coleoptera; Staphylinidae. The record is from RNAcentral.